Molecule: unclassified non-coding RNA, 240 nt
Filed under: soil metagenome
Description: partial contains 5.8S ribosomal RNA, internal transcribed spacer 2, and large subunit ribosomal RNA
Source: RNAcentral
AACCAUUCUCACCUGCGGCUAGACCUGCGGAAGGAUCAUUACCGAGUGUGAACCCCCCCGUAAAAAAGAGGGGUUACCUCCCGUCCUUUGCUGGGAACCCCUUUCCAACUUGGAAGGAGGUUGUUUUCAGACCCUUCUGCUUCGGUGGGGUAACCCACCGGAACAACCUCAAAAAUAUUCUCAAUUCAAAACCGUUCAGUCCGAGAACUUUUUUGAAAAGCGAAAAAACUUUUAACAACG